GAGUGCGCGCGCGCGCGGCCGCGAUCCGCAGCAGGUCUUCGGGGCGGGCGAGGCUGAGCUUCGGAAUGUUAAACCAAUCCUGAGGGGGGCGCGCUUCCGUUCGCGGCUUCUGUUGCCUUAUUUUCAACCGCCUUCCCUUCAGGCUUCCUUGUUUUUGUGCGUCUGUGAAGUGCGCCUGAAAGUGCCUCUCCCCACCCCCGCCAGCCCGCCGCCUCCAUUCUCUGGCUCCAGUCAGUCUCCUCUCCCUGCUAGUCACAGUGAAGGCUUUACUCAGACGUGGGGCGGCCAGAAGCCGCACGGCUGGCUGCAUGUUAGAUUUACAGCUUGUGGACUCCCCAGAGGCAGAGACCACAAAAGAACAGCGUUGGUUGGGUUCCAGCCUAUUCCAGCGUGGUGGUUCCAGAGACCACAAAAGAACAGCGUUGGGUUCCAGCGUUGGGGUCCACAUUUCAAACAUGUUAGAAAUCUAUCCGAGAGUCCCGGCACUUUAGCUGAGCUCAUCGCUAGCUUUUUUGGCUGCCGCAAACUCGGCGGUCCCGUCGCGAGGUUUUUUGUUGUUGUUGUAAACAAAAAACCGUUUCUGUACCUCAGUAUGCAGGCUCCUUAGCGUGACCUCAAAUCUUUUACUCAAAUCUGAGGGAAAAUGUAGCCCAAGGAAAUUUGUUGUGGCGCAACACAGGAAGCAGAACAAUCACUACAUGAGAUUGUGUCGGUCCAAAAUUCACGUUUGAGACCGACAGGGCCCUUGCUGGCUACCGGGCAGCAGCAUCCUCAGUCGAGAAAAUCCCCCCCCCGCGCCCCGCUUCCAGUAUGGCGAGGUUCUGUUGCUACGCGACGACAAAGUUAGCUACAUUGGGUGGAGCACUGGGUUUAGUGAAAGAGUUGAGUAACUUCUGAGUCACGUGGAAGUUGGGAAUUUCCAGGGGCCAGUGUUUUCAGUCCUCUUAUUGAAUGGCCAUUUUAAACAUUGAUAUCGUCUCUUUACUAUUAAUAACAUCUGACAGUAGUGGCUUAGAAGUGGCCAAAAGGGAGUUACCUGAGUCUUAAGCAGUCAGGUAUAAUAAUUACAGAACCUGAGGACUACCUAAGGGAAUGAUUAGGGGCGUACACGUUACAGUCAAAUUGUCUAGGUUCAAAUCCUGGCACCAUACUUUAUGUGCUUCUUAAUGAGGUGAUUCUGUGCCUCAGUUUCUUCACCUCUUAAUAUGGGAUUGGAGAAUUAAAUGAGAACUGGUGAGAGGCAGCUGGAACAGAGCUAGGUAUCUAGGAAGCACUCAGUAGUUAUUUUAUAUAUGCAAGUGUAUUCACCAUUCCCUAAUGGAUUUAAGGGAAUGUAUCACCUUCAGUUUCACCCCUUGAUUUAUCUCCCACCCCCCAAAAAAGCACAUAUAUUUUAAAAAGAUGCUGUGAUCUGUAAGAUCCCACACAAUAUAAACCAUAAAUAGCAGAAAAUGUAGAGCCUCACAUAUGAUUAAUAAUACAUAUUUCACUCCUAAAAUUUUUUAAAAUUACAUAAGUUAACCCCAAGGAAUUUACAAAGGGGAAGAGAGAACUCAUGAUUUUGUGAUAAAGGUGUUACUCACCUCACCAAGCUGCAGGUCUCAGUCUGUACAUUUAUUUCUCCCUUUACUCAUCCAUUGGCAUCAGUUAAUCUCAAAGAAAAAGCAGAAUGAUUUGUCCUGACACUAGAAGCACAGUGCAGACUCUGCAUAUUCUUUAUACCUCCCGGCAUAAGGGCGAGUUGUUUUUAUGAGUCUCUAAAAUCAGCAGCUCCCAAAUCCUUUUACCGUUACAACCUAAGCUUAGAGCUGUGUUUUUCCUGGCUGCAGAAAGGAAAACAACAUUUUGCCUUGCAAAUGUUCUGACUUGCUUAUUAUGUGAACUGGUAUCUUAAAAUGGGAUUGUUUGGCCAGAUUUUCAAAGAACUUCAGAACAUAUACUCAGAAAAACCCGUAUUUCAGAAAUGUGCAUUUGUUGAUCUACAUCUCUGGCUUUCAUGCAUUAUUAGAACUGAAUUAUCUCCCUGUACAGAAGUUUGUAUUUUACUUAACCUUUUCACAUAACAAACUGGAAAUCCAGUUUCCUCUCGGCUUCAUGUCAGAGAUCUGGAAUAUAGCCCCCAUACUUUUAAUUGUACCUUUAGAUAAAGCAUAGCGUACAUUUCAAUGUCUUAAGUGACUUCAAAUCUAUUAGCCUGUGAAGACUUUGGUGUUUCUGACACAGGACAUUGUAUGUUUCGUAUGAAACUUUUCAGGCAGGAAAAAAUACUGGCCCAGUGAGCCAGGAAGCAAAGACUCCUUACCCUGCCAUAGAGAACAAUUUAAGCAGUAGACUCCAAUAAUAAUAGUAAUUAAUAUCAACUUAAGUCAGGCUUUCCUUGUGUUUUAAAAUUUCUUCAAUACCCAAGGCUACUGUUGGCUACUUUGUUACUCAUCAGGGAGUGGUAAAAUGCUUCGUUCUUGUCUGUAAUUAUUGUUGGUGGGAUGAUGAUAUAGACCUAAAAUCUUUAUGAGGUUUUACAAAAAAAUUUUUUUUAUUCUUAUUCUUGUCUAAUGGCAAGAAAAGAAUAGUAAAUAGUCUCUCAGUCUCUCUCUCUACCUAUACAAAAAAGCACAAACACACGUACUUUUUAGCCAUAAUUAAAAUGUUCAUUUUAAUUUUUAAAUU
RNAcentral lists this long non-coding RNA (2667 nucleotides) under Homo sapiens (human). RNAcentral describes it as "non-protein coding lnc-CFAP43-5:1". Lineage: Eukaryota; Metazoa; Chordata; Mammalia; Primates; Hominidae. The record is from RNAcentral.